UGUAGGCGGCCUCUUAAGUCUGGUGUGAAAGCCCGGGGCUUACCCCCGGAAGGGCACUGGAAACUGGGAGGCUGGAGUACCGGAGAGGAGGGUGGAAUUCCUGGUGUAGCGGUGAAAUGCGUAGAUAUCAGGAGGAACACCGGUGGCGAAGGCGGCCCUCUGGACGGAUACUGACGCUGAGACGCGAAAGCGUGGGGAGCAAACAGGAUUAGAUACCCUGGUAGUCCACGCUGUAAACGAUGGGCACUAGGUGUUCGGGGUAUUGACCCCCUGAGUGCCGCAGCUAACGCAUUAAGUGCCCCGCCUGGGGACUACGGCCGCAAGGUUAAA
This 330-nucleotide ribosomal RNA is filed under the name uncultured bacterium. RNAcentral's name for it is "bacterial SSU rRNA". It matches the Rfam family "Bacterial small subunit ribosomal RNA", at positions 570 to 898 of the family's 1533-position model. The record is from RNAcentral.